Molecule: ribosomal RNA, 468 nt
Filed under: uncultured bacterium
Lineage: Bacteria
Description: partial 16S ribosomal RNA
Rfam family: Bacterial small subunit ribosomal RNA
Source: RNAcentral
GACGAACGCUGGCGGCGUGCUUAACACAUGCAAGUCGAACGGAAAGGCCCUGCUUUUGUGGGGUGCUCGAGUGCCGAACGCGUAAGUAACACUUGCGUAACCUGCCCUUGCCUUUGGGAUAACUUUAGGAAACUGGGGCUAAUACCGGUUCGGCGCUCCUGCUGCUUGUUGGGUGUUGGAAAGUUUCGGCGGUUGGGGAUGGUCUCGCGGCUUACCUCUUUGUUGGUUGGGUAGUGGCUUACCAAGGCUUUGACGGGUAGUCGGCCUGAGAGGGUGACCGGCAACAUGGGGAAAGAGAUACGGCCGAGAGUCGUAAGGGAGGCAGGAGUGGGGAAGAGUGCACAAAGGGGGGAAGCAGGAUGCAGCAAGGCGGCGUGCGGGAUGAUGGACUGCGGUUUGUAAACCGCUUUCGCCUGUGACGAAGCGUGAGUGAAGGUAAUGGGUAAAGAAGCACCGGCUAACUACGUG